This 72-nucleotide transfer RNA is filed under the name Mycobacterium phage LilhomieP. RNAcentral's name for it is "tRNA-Pro". It matches the Rfam family "tRNA". From Rfam's summary of the family: Transfer RNA (tRNA) molecules are approximately 80 nucleotides in length. Their secondary structure includes four short double-helical elements and three loops (D, anti-codon, and T loops). Lineage: Duplodnaviria; Heunggongvirae; Uroviricota; Caudoviricetes; Vilmaviridae. The record is from RNAcentral. RNAcentral also lists the same sequence under 1 other name.
CGGGGUGUGGUGUAAGGGAUACAUGGCCGGUUUGGAACCGGGCGUUCGCAGUUCGACUCUGUGCUCCCCGAC